Molecule: unclassified non-coding RNA, 1222 nt
Filed under: Hevea brasiliensis (rubber tree)
Lineage: Eukaryota; Viridiplantae; Streptophyta; Magnoliopsida; Malpighiales; Euphorbiaceae
Source: RNAcentral
CUCUCCUAAUCCCAGAAUAAAGGAAUUACUCACUCAUGGUGAGUUUAACAAACAUAAAGAAAAUAAAAUGAAAGAACAUAAAAAGUCUGCUUAAAGAAAUAAAACAAAAGAACCAAAGAGAAUCUGCAGCUUUGAUCUUUUGGAACUUCAGCUGAGGGUUUCUCCUUGAUGCCAAUGCACUAUUCUUCUAAACGGUUGUGUGAAAAUAGUGAAGGUCAAAAAAGCUCUCCCUCUUGUUAUCUGCUGCCUCUAUUUAUAAUGAUUGGGCUAAGGUUAGGUUUUUAGAGUCCUUAAGGCAUAAGGAGUCUCUUUUCUCUGUAGAAACUGAAGCUAGAAUCGAGUUGGGAAACCGGCUACCGCACGAUACACGGCACGUGCAUCACUACAUAGCCUUGGGUCGUGUAACUUACUGGAGCUUGAUUGGUUGCAUCUUGCAUCGGUACAGGAGUUUUCACGGUCUUCAGGUAGUUACACGAGCCUGAUAACACAGUCCGUGUACUUUUGUAUUUCAGGGAAAUCUUCAAGCUUGGCCCAGCAGAGACUUACACAAGUAUUCAUAUUUUACAUGGGGCACAGAACAUGGCCCGUGUACUUCGAUUCUUCUUUGGUUCUUUGUCUUUCUCCUGGCAGUAAGUUACAUGGAUCUAUGGCUUUGAUUACAUGACUCGUGUAAAUUGUAUCAGCAACAUUUCUCAAUUCUUUGGCCUUUCCAAGUCUUCAACUUUGUUCUCGUGCCUUGGGACCUCUUCAAAACACGCGUACGAAACUCAUAUUUGCAACGAGGAAGAAGUGGCCAAAAUUUUUAUAUGAACCGUAUAUCCAGUCUCAGCUGCUAUCAAAUCAGAAUUUUAAUUUUGGAUAGGAAAUUGCUUAGAUCUCCAAGAUUCUCUAAAUUGAACUGCCUUGCAAACUGUAACUGUAUAAGAGCUCAAGGUCUCCAAUCACCAGCUUUGAAUUUUUACCAACCCAGAAUAAAGAGCCGAAAUCAAACACAGUAAGACUAGAGAGAAGGAUGCAGCGACGUGAGAAUGAAGAGAUGGGGUUUGAGAGCUUGCAAGGGAGAGUGAAAUGUUGGCAUCACCACGUAAGCUCUGAAGGACGAAAUAAAGCUGAGGCACGAUGGGAGAAAAGUGGAAAGAACCUUUGAGAGGCGAGAGGUAGAUGAGAGGGAGUUAAUAUUUUUCUGAGAAAAGGAAUUUUUGCAGAUGGCCACUGUGAACCG